UUUGUCUAACCGAUGUCAAAUCCGUCAACUUUAAUUGAAAAUUCCUGGUAUAAAAAUGAUCAUGAAAUUUUUGCUAUAAUUAUUCCCAUGAAUCAAUAGAGCCGGGAGCUAAGGACUUGUACCAAGCGAAAGCGGUUCCGGUUAAUGACAAGGAAAAUAAAUGAACGUGCAAAGCAUAUAAUAUCCCGCCUCGCCUAGCUGAGCCAGAUAUCCCAAGUAGUUCGGUUAUCU
RNAcentral lists this long non-coding RNA (231 nucleotides) under Setaria italica (foxtail millet). RNAcentral's name for it is "long non-coding RNA (SITA_LNC006109)". The record is from RNAcentral. Lineage: Eukaryota; Viridiplantae; Streptophyta; Magnoliopsida; Poales; Poaceae.